RNAcentral lists this ribosomal RNA (429 nucleotides) under bacterium. RNAcentral's name for it is "partial 16S ribosomal RNA". It matches the Rfam family "Bacterial small subunit ribosomal RNA", at positions 355 to 776 of the family's 1533-position model. The record is from RNAcentral.
UAGGGAAUCUUCCACAAUGGACGCAAGUCUGAUGGAGCAACGCCGCGUGAGUGAAGAAGGUUUUCGGAUCGUAAAGCUCUGUCGUUGGUGAAGAAGGAUAGAGGCAGUAACUGGUCUUUAUUUGACGGUAAUCAACCAGAAAGUCACGGCUAACUACGUGCCAGCAGCCGCGGUAAUACGUAGGUGGCAAGCGUUGUCCGGAUUUAUUGGGCGUAAAGCGAGCGCAGGCGGAAUGAUAAGUCUGAUGUGAAAGCCCACGGCUCAACCGUGGAACUGCAUCGGAAACUGUCAUUCUUGAGUGCAGAAGAGGAGAGUGGAAUUCCAUGUGUAGCGGUGGAAUGCGUAGAUAUAUGGAAGAACACCAGUGGCGAAGGCGGCUCUCUGGUCUGCAACUGACGCUGAGGCUCGAAAGCAUGGGUAGCGAACAGG